Molecule: ribosomal RNA, 432 nt
Filed under: Konosirus punctatus (Konoshiro gizzard shad)
Lineage: Eukaryota; Metazoa; Chordata; Actinopteri; Clupeiformes; Clupeidae
Description: partial 16S ribosomal RNA
Rfam family: Bacterial large subunit ribosomal RNA
Source: RNAcentral
AUGAAUGGCAUAACGAGGGUUUAACUGUCUCUUUUUUUCGGUCAAUGAAACUGAUCUGCCCGNGCAGAAGCGGGCAUACCCACACAAGACGAGAAGACCCUAUGGAGCUUUAGACGCUCACCAACCACUAAAAGAGACCCGAUCUAACGGGCUUUCAAACAAUGUGGCCCUGGUAUAAACGUCUUCGGUUGGGGCGACCGCGGAGGAGAGAAAAGCCUCCGAGAGGAUUGGGGGAAACCCUAAAACCAAGAGCCACAGCUCUAAGUCACAAAAUAUUUGACCGACAACGAUCCAGCUUCUUGCCGAUCAACGGACCAAGUUACCCUAGGGAUAACAGCGCAAUCCCCUCCCAGAGUCCAUAUCGACGAGGGGGUUUACGACCUCGAUGUUGGAUCAGGACAUCCUAAUGGUGCAGCCGCUAUUAAGGGUUCG